Long non-coding RNA from Polypterus senegalus (gray bichir), 343 nucleotides. RefSeq lists it as uncharacterized. The transcript is spliced from 3 exons. NCBI's taxonomy places the organism in Eukaryota, Metazoa, Chordata, Cladistia, Polypteriformes, Polypteridae. The record is from RefSeq and is a predicted model, not a curated record.
GGACAUAAGGGUGCAGCAGUUCCGACAAGAGGGGCACAACCAUUAAAGGAUUUAAUACCAAAUACAGUACAAGGAUCUUGGAAGCCAGUGAAGGGAAGCCAAGAUUGGGCGGUAGGUAGCUGUGGAGACCGGGCACACGUGAAGUCCAGUAGGCACUUUCUUGAACGCACGUCCACCCCACCGCCGGCUUUACACAGCGCCAAAGCCAAAACAUUCGCAGAAGCGCCCACUCCCACUUCGACUGUUUGAACAGCUGAUGAAGGAGACGCUCACACACCAUCAACUGAAAAGGACAACACAAUGGAGAGCACAGCUCAGCAGCCAUAUUGAGACGGGCAUGCAG